This is an RNA transcript of Rattus norvegicus (Norway rat), 2849 nucleotides long. It is a transcript of the gene named cut-like homeobox 1, pseudogene 1, with no coding region annotated. The record is from RefSeq and is marked validated. NCBI's taxonomy places the organism in Eukaryota, Metazoa, Chordata, Mammalia, Rodentia, Muridae. The transcript has a single exon.
ACUCCAUCUCAAUAUGUCUCAAGAUGGCGGCCAAUGUGGGAUCGAUGUUUCAAUAUUGGAAGCGCUUUGAUUUACAGCAGCUGCAGAGAGAACUUGAUGCCACCGCAACAGUAUUGGCAAACAGGCAAGAUGAGAGCGAACAGUCCAGAAAGCGGCUCAUUGAGCAGAGCCGAGAAUUCAAGAAGAACACUCCAGAGGAUUUACGCAAGCAGGUAGCACCACUGCUCAAGAGCUUCCAAGGGGAGAUUGAUGCACUGAGUAAAAGGAGCAAAGAAGCAGAAGCAGCCUUCUUGACUGUGUACAAGAGACUAAUUGAUGUUCCAGAUCCCGUACCAGCCCUGGACCUCGGGCAACAGCUGGAAAUAAAAGUGCAGCGUCUACACGACAUUGAAACAGAGAACCAGAAACUUAGGGAAACACUAGAAGAGUACAACAAGGAGUUUGCUGAAGUGAAAAACCAAGAGGUUACGGUAAAAGCACUUAAGGAGAAAAUCCGAGAAUACGAGCAGACCCUGAAGAGUCAGGCCGAGACCAUCGCUCUGGAGAAGGAGCAGAAGCUACAAAAUGAUUUUGCAGAGAAGGAGAGAAAGCUGCAAGAGACACAGAUGUCCACCACCUCAAAGCUGGAGGAAGCUGAGCACAAACUCCAGACUCUGCAAACAGCCCUGGAAAAAACUCGAACAGAAUUAUUUGACCUGAAAACCAAAUACGAUGAAGAAACCACUGCAAAGGCCGACGAGAUCGAGAUGAUCAUGACUGACCUUGAACGAGCCAACCAGAGGGCAGAGGUGGCACAGAGAGAGGCAGAGACUUUAGGGGAACAGCUUUCAUCGGCCAACCACUCUCUCCAACUGGCCUCGCAGAUCCAGAAGGCUCCAGAUGUGGCCAUAGAGGUGCUGACCCGAUCCAGCCUGGAAGUAGAGUUGGCUGCCAAAGAGCGGGAGAUUGCCCAGCUGGUGGAAGAUGUGCAGCGACUCCAGGCCAGCCUCACCAAGCUGCGUGAGAAUUCCGCCAGCCAGAUCUCACAGCUGGAGCAGCAGCUGAACGCCAAGAAUAGCACACUCAAACAACUGGAAGAAAAACUCAAAGGCCAGGCUGACUAUGAAGAUGUGAAGAAAGAGUUGACCACUCUGAAGUCCAUGGAGUUUGCACCAUCGGAGGGAGCAGGGACACAGGACUCAACCAAGCCCCUGGAGGUUUUACUCCUGGAGAAGAACCGCUCGCUGCAGUCCGAGAAUGCCACGCUGCGCAUCUCCAACAGUGACCUGAGCGGGCGCUGUGCGGAGCUGCAGAUCCAUCUCACUGAGGCCACAGCCAAGGCCGUUGAGCAGAAGGAGCUGAUCGCUCGCUUGGAGCAGGACCUCAGCACCAUCCAGUCCAUCCAACGCCCUGAUGCUGAGGGAGCUUCCGAGCAAGGCCUAGAGAAGAUUCCAGAGCCCAUCAAGGAGGCCACAGCUCUGUUUUAUGGACCCUCAGUGUCAUCCAGUGGGACCCUCCCAGAAGGUCAGGUGGACUCCCUACUUUCCAUCAUCUCCAGCCAAAGGGAACGUUUCCGCACCCGGAACCAAGAGCUGGAGGCUGAGAGCCGUAUGGCCCAGCACACCAUCCAGGCCCUGCAGAGCGAGCUGGACAGCCUGCGUGCCGACAACAUCAAGCUUUUUGAGAAGAUCAAGUUCUUGCAGAGUUACCCUGGCCGGGGUAUCGGCAGUGACGACACGGAGCUGCGGUACUCCUCCCAGUACGAGGAACGCCUGGACCCUUUCUCCUCCUUCAGCAAGAGGGAGCGGCAGAGAAAAUACCUGGGCCUGAGCCCCUGGGACAAGGCCACACUUGGCAUGGGGCAUCUGAUUCUCUCCAACAAAAUGGCCCGCACCAUUGGCUUCUUCUACACCUUGUUCCUGCACUGUCUGGUCUUUCUGGUACUGUACAAGCUGGCAUGGAGUGAGAGCGUGGAGAGAGACUGUGCUGCCACCUGCGCCAAGAAGUUCGCCGAUCAUCUGCACAAAUUCCAUGAGAGUGACAAUGGAGCAGCAGCUGGCGACUUAUGGCAGUGACCCCCAGGCUCACCGGAGAUGUAUUGGCUGCUACCCCGUCCCUUGCUUGAUCAGCUGCUUCUAAUGACAUAGCCUUCCCCUUCCCCCCCACAAAAAAAUCCCCCACGGAUUUGUCUCUGUCCUCAUCCAACAGCUGCCGGAAGCCCAGAGCCUCUAGAACCCCUUUCAAAGGUUGUCACAACCCCAUUGGAGCCCCAAGGUUCAAACAACCCCUAGCAACCAGCUAGGGUGGACUCCCUGAGUCUCUGCCCUCGGUCUAGUCACCUGACCUGGGCUCCACCCACAUCAGAACCUCUAGCCCUGGUGGCAGAGCUUUCUGACUGUGAUACAUAUUGUCAGCACCCACUCCGGCAUUCCUAUAGGCUCUCGUAGGACCCUGCCACAUAAUAAAAUAGGUGGGAGUCUUCUGGGCCCCAGCUUCUCAUCCGCCCUCUUCCCCGGCAGGGCGGGAGGUGGCUUUGAUACAACCCUAACCACAGUCUCCAAGUCAGGGAGCCCCAGAGGGCGGGAUGGUUUCCACUACCCCUUCCCUGCACCCAGUCCAUGAUUUGAGUUCUGCUUGCUUCUUUGGCAAAAUAUUUUGGUUUCUAGAAGAGGAAGUCUCUCCAAUGAGGCCCCUGUGCCUCAGGCACCACAGACAUGGUCCCAGAGGCCCCAGCAAAACUUGUCCUGGGCCAUGAUAGCAAGGCCAACUCUCAGGACCUCAGAUCUUCCUCCGCUGGAUUUGAUCUUUUUCUUCAGCUUCGCAUGAAAUAAAGAAUCAUUGCAGCCACAAAAAAAAAAAAAAAAAAAGAA